AUUGAACGCUGGCGGCAUGCUUUACACAUGCAAGUCGAACGGUAACAGGCCUUCGGGUGCUGACGAGUGGCGAACGGGUGAGUAAUGCAUCGGAACGUGCCCAAUCGUGGGGGAUAACGCAGCGAAAGUUGCGCUAAUACCGCAUAAGCCCUGAGGGGGAAAGCGGGGGACCGAAAGGCCUCGUGCGAAUGGAGCGGCCGAUGUCAGAUUAGCUAGUUGGUGGGGUAAAGGCUCACCAAGGCGACGAUCUGUAGCUGGUCUGAGAGGAUGGCCAGCCACACUGGAACUGAGACACGGCCCAGACUCCUACGGGAGGCAGCAGUAGGGAAUAUUGGACAAUGGGGGGAACCCGUGAUCCAGCCAUGCCGCGUGAGGGGAGAAGGUCCUCUGGAUUGUAAACCUCUUUUGGCAGGAAACAAACCUGCGCUAUACGCGCAGCUGAGGGUACCUGCAGAAUAAGCACCGGCUAACUCCGUGCCAGCAGCCGACGG
This 491-nucleotide ribosomal RNA is filed under the name uncultured bacterium. RNAcentral describes it as "bacterial SSU rRNA". It matches the Rfam family "Bacterial small subunit ribosomal RNA", at positions 29 to 520 of the family's 1533-position model. The record is from RNAcentral.